GAUGAAGAACGCAGCGAAAUGCGAUACGUAAUGUGAAUUGCAGAAUUCAGUGAAUCAUCGAAUCUUUGAACGCAUAUUGCGCUCUCUGGUAUUCCGGAGAGCAUGCUUGUUUGAGUAUCAGUAAACACCUCAACUUCCAUAUCUUUUUUUGAAAUGGGAGUUGGACUUGAGUGAUCCCAACGCUUUUCCUCACCGAAAAGUGGCGGGUUACUUGAAAUGCAGGUGCAGCUGGACUUUUCUCUGAGCUAUAAGCAUAUCUAUUUAGUCUGCCUAAAAAACAGAUUAUUACCUUUGCUGCAGCUAACAUAAAGGAGAUUAGUUCUUGUGCUGACUGAUGCAGGAUUCACAAAAACAGCUUCGGCCGACUUUGUAAACUCGAUCUCAAAUCAAGUAAGACUACCCGCUGAACUUAAGCAUAUCAAUAAGCGGAGGA
This 433-nucleotide unclassified non-coding RNA is filed under the name soil metagenome. RNAcentral's name for it is "partial contains 5.8S ribosomal RNA, internal transcribed spacer 2, and large subunit ribosomal RNA". The stretch from base 1 to 120 matches the Rfam family "5.8S ribosomal RNA", at positions 35 to 154 of the family's 154-position model. The record is from RNAcentral.